GUGCUCGCUUUGGCAGCACAUAUACUAAAAUUGGAAUGAUACAGAGAAGAUUAGCAUGACCCCUGCACAAGGAUGACAGGCCAAUCUGUGAAGUGUUUUAUGUUUUU
Small nuclear RNA from Rhinopithecus roxellana (golden snub-nosed monkey), 107 nucleotides. The record is from Ensembl. NCBI's taxonomy places the organism in Eukaryota, Metazoa, Chordata, Mammalia, Primates, Cercopithecidae.